This 1409-nucleotide long non-coding RNA is filed under the name Papio anubis (olive baboon). RNAcentral's name for it is "lncRNA (ENSPANG00000046434.1)". Lineage: Eukaryota; Metazoa; Chordata; Mammalia; Primates; Cercopithecidae. The record is from RNAcentral.
GCAGAAUAUCAUAAGAUUCAGGAUAGCUCAGAAGACUAAGCUUCAUAUCUAAUUAAUCCUGAAACAUUAUUUAAUUGCCCAAAUCAACUGUCAUACUAAUUCAUGUUCCUAAGUUCAUAGUGGAAGGAGACCAAUUCUAAAGAGAUCUUAGUCUGGCCAUUUAAAAAGUCAUCCUCAUUCAGGAGAGUUACUCAAUUUCAAUUUAAUUCUUCAUUUCAAAGAGGAAUAAUUAUGUUCACUUAUUUUGAAUAAUAAGUUAUUGUAUAAUGUGUUCUAAGUGAGAAUUAAUUAGUAAGUCACCAGUCACAUUUAGUGAAAAUAGAAAACAUACUUCCCUUUGUUUUCAGAAAUAAGUAAUUGCUUUUGUCAGUCCACAGAAAGCUGUUGACCAUCUGCUAUUCCUAAUACUUUGAACAGUGUGCAGAAAGUGUCCGAAGUAGAAUAACAGUGUGUUUAUGAUUGUUUUAGGAAACAAGAAACCAAGAAUUGGACGAAUUAUCUGGGCUCAGUGGCUCACGCCCGCAAUCCCUGCACUUUGGGAGGCCGAGGAAGGAGGAUUACCUGAGGUCAGGAGUUCGACACCAGCCUGGCCAACAUGCGCCAUGUUUUGAGGAAGCCCAGGCUCCAUGGAGAGGCCAAUAGCCAAGACUAAGGUCUCAGCCAAAAGCGAGCAUCACCUGCCAGAUACGUAAGUGAAUGAGCCAUUGGAUGAUUUCCGUGGCUAGCCUUUGAGUUGCCUCAGCUAACAUCAAGUAGAACUCUGACCAUCUUGUAGAUUUGUGAGCAAAAUGCAUACUGUUGUUGUUUUAAGCUACUAAGUUUUUGGGGUGGUUUUUUAUGCAACAGAAGAUAACCGAAACACACAGAUCAUAGGACUACAGAACAAUAUGUGUCUUACAGAGUAAAUGAUUAAUAAAGAAUUCCCAAAUGAAUAAACACAUGAAUAUGAUUAUAGUAAAUCAAAGUGAAUAUAAUUUCCAUUUUCCAAUGGCAACACUGAUAUGUUUUUUUCUGACAUCAUUAUUCCUCAAAAUGCUGUUAUGGACUAAACUGUGCCUCCCUCCCAAAUUCCUAUGUUGAAGCCCAAACCCCCAGUGUGACUAUAUUUGGAGAUAGGGCCUUUAAAGUGGUAAUUAAGGGUAAAUGACAUCAUAAGGAUGGGGCCCUAGGCUAACAGAACUGUGUGUGGCCUUAUAAGAAAAGGAAGAGACACCAGGGAUAUAUGCACGGAGAAAAAGCCAUGUGAAGACAGGGUAAGAAGACAGCCAUUUGCAAACCAAGGAGAGAAGCCUCAGGAGAAACCAAACCUGCUGACACCUAGAUCUUGGACAGCCAGCCUCCUAAACUGUGUGUGAGACAAUACAUUUCUAUUAUUUAAGUCACCCUGUCUGUGGUGUUUUGUUAUGGCA